RNAcentral lists this ribosomal RNA (492 nucleotides) under uncultured bacterium. RNAcentral describes it as "partial 16S ribosomal RNA". It matches the Rfam family "Bacterial small subunit ribosomal RNA", at positions 29 to 507 of the family's 1533-position model. The record is from RNAcentral.
AGUGAACGCUGGCGGUAGGCCUAACACAUGCAAGUCGAACGGCAGCACAGUAAGAGCUUGCUCUUACGGGUGGCGAGUGGCGGACGGGUGAGGAAUACAUCGGAAUCUACUUUUUCGUGGGGGAUAACGUAGGGAAACUUACGCUAAUACCGCAUACGACCUACGGGUGAAAGCAGGGGAUCUUCGGACCUUUCGCGAUUGAAUGAGCCGAUGUCGGAUUAGCUAGUUGGCGGGGUAAAGGCCCACCAAGGCGACGAUCCGUAGCUGGUCUGAGAGGAUGAUCAGCCACACUGGAACUGAGACACGGUCCAGACUCCUACGGGAGGGAGCAGUGGGGAAUAUUGGACAAUGGGCGCAAGCCUGAUCCAGCCAUACCGCGUGGGUGAAGAAGGCCUUCGGGUUGUAAAGCCCUUUUGUUGGGAAAGAAAAGCAGCAGGUUAAUACCCAGCUGUUCUGACGGUACCCAAAGAAUAAGCACCGGCUAACUUCGUG